This 257-nucleotide ribosomal RNA is filed under the name uncultured bacterium. RNAcentral describes it as "partial 16S ribosomal RNA". It matches the Rfam family "Bacterial small subunit ribosomal RNA", at positions 96 to 353 of the family's 1533-position model. The record is from RNAcentral.
UGGCGGACGGGUGAGUAAUGUCUGGGAAACUGCCUGAUGGAGGGGGAUAACUACUGGAAACGGUAGCUAAUACCGCAUAACGUCGCAAGACCAAAGAGGGGGACCUUCGGGCCUCUUGCCAUCGGAUGUGCCCAGAUGGGAUUAGCUAGUAGGUGGGGUAACGGCUCACCUAGGCGACGAUCCCUAGCUGGUCUGAGAGGAUGACCAGCCACACUGGAACUGAGACACGGUCCAGUACUCCUACGGGAGGCAGCAUG